RNAcentral lists this ribosomal RNA (658 nucleotides) under uncultured bacterium. RNAcentral's name for it is "bacterial SSU rRNA". It matches the Rfam family "Bacterial small subunit ribosomal RNA", at positions 68 to 719 of the family's 1533-position model. The record is from RNAcentral.
GGCAGCACGGGAGCUUGCUCCUGGUGGCGAGUGGCGAACGGGUGAGUAAUAUAUCGGAACGUGCCCAGUAGUGGGGGAUAGCCCGGCGAAAGCCGGAUUAAUACCGCAUACGAUCUACGGAUGAAAGCGGGGGAUCGCAAGACCUCGCGCUAUUGGAGCGGCCGAUAUCUGAUUAGCUAGUUGGUGAGGUAAAGGCUCACCAAGGCGACGAUCAGUAGCUGGUCUGAGAGGACGACCAGCCACACUGGAACUGAGACACGGUCCAGACUCCUACGGGAGGCAGCAGUGGGGAAUUUUGGACAAUGGGGGAAACCCUGAUCCAGCAAUGCCGCGUGAGUGAAGAAGGCCUUCGGGUUGUAAAGCUCUUUUGUCAGGGAAGAAACGGUUCUGGCUAAUAUCCAGAGCUAAUGACGGUACCUGAAGAAUAAGCACCGGCUAACUACGUGCCAGCAGCCGCGGUAAUACGUAGGGUGCAAGCGUUAAUCGGAAUUACUGGGCGUAAAGAGUGCGUAGGCGGUUGUGCAAGACAGAUGUGAAAUCCCCGGGCUUAACCUGGGAAUUGCAUUUGUGACUGCACGGCUAGAGUGUGUCAGAGGGGGGUAGAAUUCCACGUGUAGCAGUGAAAUGCGUAGGGAUGUGGAGGAAUACCGAUGGCGAA